This 1786-nucleotide long non-coding RNA is filed under the name Junco hyemalis (dark-eyed junco). RNAcentral's name for it is "lncRNA (ENSJHYG00000012688.1)". The record is from RNAcentral. Lineage: Eukaryota; Metazoa; Chordata; Aves; Passeriformes; Passerellidae.
GGGCAUGUUGCAAAAGCCCCAGACAAAAUCAGCCAGGGAAGGCAGGAAAGGCAAAUAAAAUCAGGGAGGAAGGUUUCCCCUUUAUCCCAAGAGUCAAAGCAAACCAUGUGUGCACUAGUACAUGUGUGCAUAUGCAGGUGCACACAUGCUCACCCUCCUAUGCACCCAGUCUCCUAAAUUCAAAGGUAGUUUGUUCAUUUCUCUUUAUUCCACUAGGAUUCAGACAGCCGAAAAACCCAAUAAUUAAGAAGCUUUUGCUCAGUGCGACUGCCAAGCAGACAUCAGGUUGGCUGCAGCACUGUUUGGUGUGGAUAUGGCUCUCCAGUGAUUCAUAACCAGCCCAAUCGGAACAGGGUUCAUCAGUGCCCCAACCAACAAAAACACAACUGCAAUGUUUUCAGUUCUUUCCCUUCUCCUUUAAAGAGAAAUACACACACACGCAGAGGAAAAACAGAGCUAGAGAAUGCUUUCUAACCUGGUACAGCAUAUUACACUAAUUUGGGGAUGCUGUUACUCAUGCAUCAUUCACGACCCUGCCAAACCCAGGAACAAACAGUCCCUACAAUCUCGAUCGGACUGUCUGAGAUGAACUUUGUAGAGUUUUCCAAUCUGAAAGAGCCCAAAUAGGAAACAUCCUUCCCCACUGCUAGCUCCUGUAAUGGGCAGCAUACCAGGCAGUGUCCUUACCCUGAUCUGCUUCUCUAUUGAUAUUUUUGUCCAGCAGUGGCUGCAGGGCAGGUGAAGGGAUCUGCAAAUGUCAUGUGCUGUCAUCUUUCCACUGGCUGGCGUCAGAGCCCUCAGAGGCUCCGUGUUGGGACAGCUUCUCCCAUGGUGACAAAGUCCCUGGAAAUGAGGAGGAAGUUGAACGUGGACAUCACUUCUGCCCUGGAGGGACUACACCAUGAAGGGUGGCAGCUGCUCACCCACCAGUACCCCAAAGCCAUCCUUCCACAGAGUGUCAUGGAAGGGAAGGGUCCCUUGAGAGAGAAGGCUGGGGCUGCCUGGCAAGGUGAGGAAAGCCAGCUCUUGGACCACCUCAUGGUGGGAGGUGGACUUGUUUAUCAGCAGAGCUUGCGUGGUGCCACCCCUUUUCAUUCUGGACUGAGUCAACCCCCCAGACACCAAUGAACGUGCUCUUGUAAACAAACACCAUGGUUGUUCAGUUUUUGUUGCUGCUGUUGCUGCUGUUAAAUGUUUUUCUUUCUUUUCCAGAUAAAACUGCUUUGCCUUCAGAAAAUGGGGCAACAUAACCUUUGCAGACACUUGAGCAACUUUUAAAUGUUCUCGGUUGGGAUGGGAGCCUUUGCUUUCCUGGUGAAAAAGGCAUCACCAUGGGCAGUAAACAGUUCUGGGGCACUGGAGAGGACACAGUGAAAGUGCAUUAAAAAUAUAAAGACUCAAAACUCUUCCUUGACCUCACCACCUUUAGUGACAUGUGGGAAGAGGUGCAAUAGGGGUGUCCAAUGGAGUCCACAAUGUCUUGUCUGUCUCUUUCAUGUUCCUGCUCUAUUUUCCUCUGUGUUAAGUGAUUUUUAAAUUUUUUAAAAAUUUCUAUUCUGCUCUUCUCAUGCUUGUGUAGCCCUGGUUGUACUGAUAGCUUCACUUUGGCCAUGGUUGAGCAUUAGCGGUUAACAGCACGUGUCCCACCAGCUGGUGUAUGGCUGGCCAUGGAACUUACAGCUUUUGAGGGAUGUAGUGUCCCCUUCACUGUCACCAGAGUGGAUAGUUGUAUGCCUCUGGCAGCAACACUAAUGCAAGACUUUGGUUUUCCCAUUUUGUCCUUUCC